Molecule: ribosomal RNA, 377 nt
Filed under: uncultured bacterium
Lineage: Bacteria
Description: bacterial SSU rRNA
Rfam family: Bacterial small subunit ribosomal RNA
Source: RNAcentral
UAAGACAGAGGGGGCAAGCGUUGCUCGGAAUCACUGGGCGUAAAGGGCGCGUAGGCGGGAUGGCAAGUCAGUCGUGAAAUCUCUCGGCUCAACCGAGAAACGUCGGCUGAUACUGCCGUUCUUGAGGGAUGCAGAGGAGACUGGAAUUCCCGGUGUAGCGGUGAAAUGUGUAGAGAUCGGGAGGAACACCGGUGGCGAAGGCGGGUCUCUGGGCAUUUCCUGACGCUGAGGCGCGAAAGCGUGGGGAGCAAACGGGAUUAGAUACCCUGGUAGUCCACGCCGUAAACGAUGGGUACUAGGUGCCUGGGGGAGCGACCCUCUGGGUGCCGGCGCUAACGCAGGAAGUACCCCGCCUGGGGAGUACGACCGCAAGGUUG